This 754-nucleotide ribosomal RNA is filed under the name uncultured Tulasnella. RNAcentral describes it as "LSU rRNA". The stretch from base 206 to 754 matches the Rfam family "Eukaryotic large subunit ribosomal RNA", at positions 1 to 470 of the family's 3401-position model. The record is from RNAcentral. Lineage: Eukaryota; Fungi; Basidiomycota; Agaricomycetes; Cantharellales; Tulasnellaceae.
CGUCAUUGUUGUCCUUYGUGAGCCUCGUUUCCGAACGGGCCCGAGUUCGGAGUCCUCGGUCCUCGGAUCGUGUUCUCUCAGAAUCAGCGCGCCGUUCGCUCUGGCGGGUUCUCCAAUGCUUGAGCGCGGAGACCUUCCUGCGGGUGUGGCGUCCGACYGCGACCUGAGCGCGCGUCACCAAGUCCCUCUUGGGCACUACAAUUCAUGACCUCAUUGGGGUAGGACAACCCGCUAGACUUAAGCAUAUUAAUCAGCGGAGGAAAAGAAACUAACAAGGAUUCCCUCAGUAACUGCGAGUGAAGCGGGAUCGGCUCAAUGUGUGAAUCUGAUCGGGGGUAACUCCCUUGUUCGAGUUGUGCACUACGGACGUCUCGUCUGCGUUGCGCAAUGGCGGUGGAAGUCCGUUGAAACACGGCACCCGAGAGGGUCAUAGUCCCGUACCACCCGCCAGCGCUCGCGCCAAUGACAGGCGCUCCUCGAGUCGCGUAGUUUUGUAUUGCUGCGCCAAGUGGGAGGUAGAGACCUUCUAAGGCUAAAUAUGAUGACGUGACCGAUAGCACACAAGUACCGCGAGGGAAAGGUGAAAAGCAACCAUGAAAAAUGGGUUGAAACAGUAGUGAAAGUGCUGCCGGGAUAAGGGCUAUUGGGUGCUGGGGCUCUUGACGUGUGCUUUGGUGCUACGUCUCGAGACGGCCUGCGCGGGUUGACGGGGGCGACAGAUGCGCCGCGGGAAUUCGGCUGCCUCCGGGCAGUG